Molecule: ribosomal RNA, 292 nt
Filed under: uncultured bacterium
Lineage: Bacteria
Description: partial 16S ribosomal RNA
Rfam family: Bacterial small subunit ribosomal RNA
Source: RNAcentral
GUGUCAGCAGCCGCGGUAAGACGAACCGAGCGAACGUUGUUCGGAAUCACUGGGCUUAAAGGGCGCGUAGGCGGGCUGCCGCGUCCGGGGUGAAAUCCUCCGGCUCAACCGGAGAACGGCCCCGGGUACGGGCGGCCUCGAGGGGGGUAGGGGCGUGCGGAACUGUGGGUGGAGCGGUGAAAUGCGUUGAGAUCCACAGGAACUCCGGUGGCGAAGGCGGCACGCUGGACCCUCUCUGACGCUGAGGCGCGAAAGCCAGGGGAGCGAACGGGAUUAGAUACCCCCGUAGUCC